GAUGAACGCUGACAGAAUGCUUAACACAUGCAAGUCGACUUGAAUUUGGGAGUUUGACUGAUGGUUGGGUGGCGGACGGGUGAGUAACGCGUAAAGAACUUGCCUCACAGCUAGGGACAACAUUUGGAAACGAAUGCUAAUACCGAAUAUUAGGAUAAUCGGCCAUCCUAUAAUUAUGAAAGCUAUAAGCGCUGUGAGAGAGCUGUGCGUCCCAUUAGCUAGUUGGAGAGGUAACGGCUCACCAAGGCGAUGAUGGGUAGCCGGCUUGAGAGGGUGACGGGCAAACAGGGACCUGGGACAGGGCCAUUACCCCUACGGGAGGAAGAAGUGGGGAAUAUGCGACAAUGGACCAAGAGUCUGAUACAGCAAUUCUGUGUGCAAGAUGAAGUUUUUCGGAAUGUAAAGCGCUUUCAGUUGGGAAGAAAGAAAUGACGGUACCAACAGAAGAAGUGACGGCUAAAUACGUG
Molecule: ribosomal RNA, 467 nt
Filed under: uncultured bacterium
Lineage: Bacteria
Description: partial 16S ribosomal RNA
Rfam family: Bacterial small subunit ribosomal RNA
Source: RNAcentral